Molecule: non-coding RNA, 203 nt
Organism: Oryza nivara
Lineage: Eukaryota; Viridiplantae; Streptophyta; Magnoliopsida; Poales; Poaceae
Source: Rfam
AAAAAGACAAACACUAUAUUUCCGUGCCAACAUUUGAUUGUCCAUAUUAUAUGAUUUUUUUAUAAUUAGUAUUUUCAUUGUUGUUAGAUGAUAAAACAUGAUUAAUAUUUUAUGUGUGACUUAUCUUUUUAAUUUUUUUUAUAAUUUUUUCAAAAAAGACGGACGGUCAAGCGUUGGACACGGAAACCAGGGUUUGUCUUUUU